AGUGAACGCUGGCGGUAGGCCUAACACAUGCAAGUCGAACGGCAGCACAGUAAGAGCUUGCUCUUACGGGUGGCGAGUGGCGGACGGGUGAGGAAUACAUCGGAAUCUACUUUUUCGUGGGGGAUAACGUAGGGAAACUUACGCUAAUACCGCAUACGACCUACGGGUGAAAGCAGGGGAUCUUCGGACCUUGCGCGAUUGAAUGAGCCGAUGUCGGAUUAGCUAGUUGGCGGGGUAAAGGCCCACCAAGGCGACGAUCCGUAGCUGGUCUGAGAGGAUGAUGAGCCACACUGGAGCUGAGACACGGUCCAGACACCUACGGGAGGCAGCAGUGGGGAAUAUUGGACAAUGGGCGCAAGCCUGAUCCAGCCACACCGCGUGGGUGAAGAAGGCCUUCGGGUGGUAAAGCCCUUUUGUGGGGAAAGAAAAGCAGCAGGUUAAUACCCCGCUGUUCUGACGGUACCCAAAGAAUAAGCACCGGCUAACUUCGU
RNAcentral lists this ribosomal RNA (491 nucleotides) under uncultured bacterium. RNAcentral's name for it is "partial 16S ribosomal RNA". It matches the Rfam family "Bacterial small subunit ribosomal RNA", at positions 29 to 506 of the family's 1533-position model. The record is from RNAcentral.